RNAcentral lists this ribosomal RNA (1469 nucleotides) under Escherichia coli 1-182-04_S3_C2. Its description in RNAcentral is "bacterial LSU rRNA". It matches the Rfam family "Bacterial large subunit ribosomal RNA", at positions 1480 to 2925 of the family's 2925-position model. Lineage: Bacteria; Pseudomonadati; Pseudomonadota; Gammaproteobacteria; Enterobacterales; Enterobacteriaceae. The record is from RNAcentral.
GGCUAUGUUGGCCGGGCGACGGUUGUCCCGGUUUAAGCGUGUAGGCUGGUUUUCCAGGCAAAUCCGGAAAAUCAAGGCUGAGGCGUGAUGACGAGGCACUACGGUGCUGAAGCAACAAAUGCCCUGCUUCCAGGAAAAGCCUCUAAGCAUCAGGUAACAUCAAAUCGUACCCCAAACCGACACAGGUGGUCAGGUAGAGAAUACCAAGGCGCUUGAGAGAACUCGGGUGAAGGAACUAGGCAAAAUGGUGCCGUAACUUCGGGAGAAGGCACGCUGAUAUGUAGGUGAAGUCCCUCGCGGAUGGAGCUGAAAUCAGUCGAAGAUACCAGCUGGCUGCAACUGUUUAUUAAAAACACAGCACUGUGCAAACACGAAAGUGGACGUAUACGGUGUGACGCCUGCCCGGUGCCGGAAGGUUAAUUGAUGGGGUUAGCGCAAGCGAAGCUCUUGAUCGAAGCCCCGGUAAACGGCGGCCGUAACUAUAACGGUCCUAAGGUAGCGAAAUUCCUUGUCGGGUAAGUUCCGACCUGCACGAAUGGCGUAAUGAUGGCCAGGCUGUCUCCACCCGAGACUCAGUGAAAUUGAACUCGCUGUGAAGAUGCAGUGUACCCGCGGCAAGACGGAAAGACCCCGUGAACCUUUACUAUAGCUUGACACUGAACAUUGAGCCUUGAUGUGUAGGAUAGGUGGGAGGCUUUGAAGUGUGGACGCCAGUCUGCAUGGAGCCGACCUUGAAAUACCACCCUUUAAUGUUUGAUGUUCUAACGUAGACCCGUGAUCCGGGUUGCGGACAGUGUCUGGUGGGUAGUUUGACUGGGGCGGUCUCCUCCUAAAGAGUAACGGAGGAGCACGAAGGUUGGCUAAUCCUGGUCGGACAUCAGGAGGUUAGUGCAAUGGCAUAAGCCAGCUUGACUGCGAGCGUGACGGCGCGAGCAGGUGCGAAAGCAGGUCAUAGUGAUCCGGUGGUUCUGAAUGGAAGGGCCAUCGCUCAACGGAUAAAAGGUACUCCGGGGAUAACAGGCUGAUACCGCCCAAGAGUUCAUAUCGACGGCGGUGUUUGGCACCUCGAUGUCGGCUCAUCACAUCCUGGGGCUGAAGUAGGUCCCAAGGGUAUGGCUGUUCGCCAUUUAAAGUGGUACGCGAGCUGGGUUUAGAACGUCGUGAGACAGUUCGGUCCCUAUCUGCCGUGGGCGCUGGAGAACUGAGGGGGGCUGCUCCUAGUACGAGAGGACCGGAGUGGACGCAUCACUGGUGUUCGGGUUGUCAUGCCAAUGGCACUGCCCGGUAGCUAAAUGCGGAAGAGAUAAGUGCUGAAAGCAUCUAAGCACGAAACUUGCCCCGAGAUGAGUUCUCCCUGACUCCUUGAGAGUCCUGAAGGAACGUUGAAGACGACGACGUUGAUAGGCCGGGUGUGUAAGCGCAGCGAUGCGUUGAGCUAACCGGUACUAAUGAACCGUGAGGCUUAACCU